Molecule: ribosomal RNA, 497 nt
Filed under: uncultured bacterium
Lineage: Bacteria
Description: partial 16S ribosomal RNA
Rfam family: Bacterial small subunit ribosomal RNA
Source: RNAcentral
GAUGAACGCUGGCGGCGUGCCUAAUACAUGCAAGUCGAGCGAACAGACGAGGAGCUUGCUCCUUUGACGUUAGCGGCGGACGGGUGAGUAACACGUAGGUAACCUACCUAUAAGACUGGGAUAACUUCGGGAAACCGGAGCUAAUACCGGAUAAUAUUUCGAACCGCAUGGUUCGAUAGUGAAAGAUGGCUUUGCUAUCACUUAUAGAUGGACCUGCGCCGUAUUAGCUAGUUGGUAAGGUAACGGCUUACCAAGGCAACGAUACGUAGCCGACCUGAGAGGGUGAUCGGCCACACUGGAACUGAGACACGGUCCAGACUCCUACGGGAGGCAGCAGUAGGGAAUCUUCCGCAAUGGGCGAAAGCCUGACGGAGCAACGCCGCGUGAGUGAUGAAGGUCUUCGGAUCGUAAAACCCUGUUAUUAGGGAAGAACAACCUUGUAAGUAACUGUGCACGUCUUGACGGUACCUAAUCAGAAAGCCACGGCUAACUACGUG